UACAGAGGUCUCGAGCGUUAGGCGGAAUCACUGGGCUUAAAGCGUGUGUAGGCGGAUCGUUAAGUGCCUUGUGAAAUCCCACGGCUCAACCGUGGAACUGCUUGGCAUACUGGCGGUCUUGAGCAACCUAGGGGCGAGCGGAACAAAUGGUGGAGCGGCGAAAUGCGUAGAUAUCAUUUGGAACGCCAAUGGUGAAAACAGCUCGCUGGGGGUUUGCUGACGCUGAGACACGAAAGCCAGGGGAGCAAACGGG
Molecule: ribosomal RNA, 253 nt
Filed under: uncultured bacterium
Lineage: Bacteria
Description: partial 16S ribosomal RNA
Rfam family: Bacterial small subunit ribosomal RNA
Source: RNAcentral